This 253-nucleotide ribosomal RNA is filed under the name uncultured bacterium. RNAcentral's name for it is "partial 16S ribosomal RNA". It matches the Rfam family "Bacterial small subunit ribosomal RNA", at positions 524 to 776 of the family's 1533-position model. The record is from RNAcentral.
UACGUAGGGUGCGAGCGUUAAUCGGAAUUACUGGGCGUAAAGUGUGCGCAGGCUGCGUUGCAAGUCGAGUGUGAAAUCCCCGAGCUUAACUUGGGAAUUGCGCUCGAAACUACGAUGCUCGAGUAUGGCAGAGGAAGGUGGAAUUCCACGUGUAGCGGUGAAAUGCGUAGAGAUGUGGAGGAACACCGAUGGCGAAGGCAGCCUUCUGGGCCAAUACUGACGCUCAUGCACGAAAGCGUGGGGAGCAAACAGG